This 652-nucleotide ribosomal RNA is filed under the name Bacillus sp. FJAT-4483. RNAcentral's name for it is "bacterial SSU rRNA". It matches the Rfam family "Bacterial small subunit ribosomal RNA", at positions 54 to 689 of the family's 1533-position model. The record is from RNAcentral. Lineage: Bacteria; Bacillati; Bacillota; Bacilli; Caryophanales; Bacillaceae.
AAUGCAGUCGAGCGGACAGAUGGGAGCUUGCUCCCUGAUGUUAGCGGCGGACGGGUGAGUAACACGUGGGUAACCUGCCUGUAAGACUGGGAUAACUCCGGGAAACCGGGGCUAAUACCGGAUGCUUGUUUGAACCGCAUGGUUCAAACAUAAAAGGUGGCUUCGGCUACCACUUACAGAUGGACCCGCGGCGCAUUAGCUAGUUGGUGAGGUAAUGGCUCACCAAGGCAACGAUGCGUAGCCGACCUGAGAGGGUGAUCGGCCACACUGGGACUGAGACACGGCCCAGACUCCUACGGGAGGCAGCAGUAGGGAAUCUUCCGCAAUGGACGAAAGUCUGACGGAGCAACGCCGCGUGAGUGAUGAAGGUUUUCGGAUCGUAAAGCUCUGUUGUUAGGGAAGAACAAGUGCCGUUCAAAUAGGGCGGCACCUUGACGGUACCUAACCAGAAAGCCACGGCUAACUACGUGCCAGCAGCCGCGGUAAUACGUAGGUGGCAAGCGUUGUCCGGAAUUAUUGGGCGUAAAGGGCUCGCAGGCGGUUUCUUAAGUCUGAUGUGAAAGCCCCCGGCUCAACCGGGGAGGGUCAUUGGAAACUGGGGAACUUGAGUGCAGAAGAGGAGAGUGGAAUUCCACGUGUAGCGGUGAAAUGC